CCGUAAAUAAAGCUGAAUCCCUUAAAGGGUACGGAGGAACCAAAUUAUUGGGGUGAGUCCAUGAAAAUGGUAGGGAGAUCCUAUUGCCCGAGCCCGACAGCUAACUUCGGAAGCGAACUAUAGGAGGAGCC
This 131-nucleotide small RNA is filed under the name Ruminiclostridium hungatei. RNAcentral's name for it is "Clostridium hungatei c-di-AMP sequence". It matches the Rfam family "c-di-AMP riboswitch aptamer (ydaO/yuaA leader)". From Rfam's summary of the family: This family represents a conserved RNA structure found upstream of the ydaO and yuaA genes in Bacillus subtilis and related genes in other bacteria. Lineage: Bacteria; Bacillati; Bacillota; Clostridia; Eubacteriales; Oscillospiraceae. The record is from Rfam by way of RNAcentral.